RNAcentral lists this ribosomal RNA (447 nucleotides) under uncultured bacterium. Its description in RNAcentral is "bacterial SSU rRNA". It matches the Rfam family "Bacterial small subunit ribosomal RNA", at positions 355 to 825 of the family's 1533-position model. The record is from RNAcentral.
UGGGGAAUAUUGGACAAUGGGCGCAAGCCUGACGACGCAACGCCGCGUGAAGGAUGAAGUAUUUCGGUAUGUAAACUUCGAAAGAAUAGGAAGAAUAAAUGACGGUACUAUUUAUAAGGUCCGGCUAACUACGUGCCAGCAGCCGCGGUAAUACGUAGGGACCAAGCGUUGUUCGGAUUUACUGGGCGUAAAGGGCGCGUAGGCGGCAAUUCAAGUCAUCUGUGAAAUCUCCGGGCUUAACUCGGAACGGUCAGAUGAUACUGCUUUGCUAGAGUGCAGAAGGGGCAAUCGGAAUUCUUGGUGUAGCGGUGAAAUGCGUAGAUAUCAAGAGGAACACCUGAGGUGAAGACGGGUUGCUGGGCUGACACUGACGCUGAGGCGCGAAAGCCAGGGGAGCAAACGGGAUUAGAUACCCACGUAGUCCCUGAGCGGGCUGGCAAGGCGCAU